This 336-nucleotide ribosomal RNA is filed under the name uncultured bacterium. Its description in RNAcentral is "bacterial SSU rRNA". It matches the Rfam family "Bacterial small subunit ribosomal RNA", at positions 8 to 347 of the family's 1533-position model. The record is from RNAcentral.
AGAGUUUGAUCCUGGCUCAGAUUGAACGCUGGCGGCAUGCCUUACACAUGCAAGUCGAACGGGCUUUGGGGCUUGCUCCAAAGUUAGUGGCGAACGGGUGAGUAAUAUAUCGGAACGUACCCUUGAGUGGGGGAUAACAUAGCGAAAGUUAUGCUAAUACCGCAUACGAUCUAAGGAUGAAAGUGGGGGACCGGCAAGGCCUCACGCUCCUGGAGCGGCCGAUAUCUGAUUAGCUAGUUGGUGAGGUAAAGGCUCACCAAGGCUUCGAUCAGUAGCUGGUCUGAGAGGACGAUCAGCCACACUGGGACUGAGACACGGCCCAGACUCCUACGGGAG